AGCAGCCGCGGUAAUUCCAGCUCCAAUAGCGUAUAUUAAAGUUGUUGCAGUUAAAAAGCUCGUAGUUGAAUUUCGGAAUUUGUCGGUUGGUCGGGCUUCACUGUCUGCACUGGCCUGAUGGAUUCCUACCUUCUGAAUAACCAGCAUGCUAUUAAUUUAGUGCGUUGGGGAAGCAGAGCUAUUACCUUGAAAAAUUAGAGUGCUUAAAGCAGGCUCACGCUUGAAUAGAUUAGCAUGGAAUAAUAAAAUAGGACGGCUUGGUUCUAUUUUGUUGGUUUCUAGGAUCACCGUAAUGAUUAAUAGGGAUAGUUGGGGGCAUUAGUAUUCAAUUGUCAGAGGUGAAAUUCUUGGAUUUAUUGAAGACUAACUUCUGCGAAAGCAUUUGCCAAGGAUGUUUUCAUUAAUCAAGAACGAAAGUUAGGGGAUCGAAGACGAUCAGAUACCGUCGUAGUCUUAACCAUAAACUAUGCCGACUAGGGAUCGGAUGAUGUUAAUUUUUAAUGACU
Molecule: ribosomal RNA, 506 nt
Filed under: uncultured Acaulospora
Lineage: Eukaryota; Fungi; Glomeromycota; Glomeromycetes; Diversisporales; Acaulosporaceae
Description: SSU rRNA
Rfam family: Eukaryotic small subunit ribosomal RNA
Source: RNAcentral